This 428-nucleotide unclassified non-coding RNA is filed under the name Hevea brasiliensis (rubber tree). The record is from RNAcentral. Lineage: Eukaryota; Viridiplantae; Streptophyta; Magnoliopsida; Malpighiales; Euphorbiaceae.
UUCGAUCGAGAAGCCGCCAUCUUCAUCAUAUUCGCCUGAGGCAUUCGAGAGCCGCGUUUGAAGAAGAAUUAGGAUUGACAUGGGGAAGCAACCGGUUCGGAUGAAGGCUGUGAUCUACGCUUUAUCGCCGUUCCAGCAGAAGAUCAUGACAGGGUUAUGGAACGACUUGACCGGCAAGAUUCACCAUAAGAUCUCCGAGAACUGGAUCAGUGCGGCCCUUCUGAUUACCCCCGUCGUCGGCACCUAUACGUACGCACAGCAGUACAAGGAGAAUGAAAAGUUGUCUCACAGGUACUGAGCGGCUGGUCCCUGGAUGUGCCAUCCAUCUACUUGAAGAACAUUUGAAGACUUUUUCGUUUUGAAAAUGGAGGUCUGGUUUCUUAGACUAUGAGGAUGUGCUUUUAUUUUGAGGAACAUUUUCUCGCUUG